This is a non-coding RNA of Triticum aestivum (bread wheat), 135 nucleotides long. NCBI's taxonomy places the organism in Eukaryota, Viridiplantae, Streptophyta, Magnoliopsida, Poales, Poaceae. The record is from Rfam.
CAGGUACCCCCUUUGUCUGAAAAUACUUGUCAUCAAAAUGAACAAAAAGGAAUGUAUCUAGAACUAAAAUACAUCUAGAUACAUCCCCUUUUAUUCAUUUUGAUGACAAGUAUUUCCGGACGGAGGGAGUAUGUG